AUCACAUCUUGCAUCCCUGUUAUGAAAUAGGCAGCGUCAAUAAUACUUAUGAAAUCAGUCAAUCAAGAGGCAAAGAACCAAACAUAAUCUGCUGCUGCUGCUUCUUUACAAUCCCAGAAGAAGAAGAGGAAGAGGAAAAGAAAGGAAAAUGCAAAUGAUAUGUUAUCGAUGGAGAGAGAAAGAGGUCAAGUGAAACAUAGAGAGGGAGCAUAUUAUAAGGUGGUGAAGAGAGAGGAAAAAAGGGAAUCAGAUCAGUGGGUAAAGAGAAGAGAAGGCAUGAGAAAGAAAUUCUGUCCGUGUCUAGCUUUAGGGAGGCGAGGACGAUGAGCUGAGGCCUUAGUGGGUUGUGU
Molecule: unclassified non-coding RNA, 350 nt
Filed under: Hevea brasiliensis (rubber tree)
Lineage: Eukaryota; Viridiplantae; Streptophyta; Magnoliopsida; Malpighiales; Euphorbiaceae
Source: RNAcentral